GAUGAACGCUGGCGGCGUGCCUAAUACAUGCAAGUCGAGCGAACGGACGAGAAGCUUGCUUCUCUGAUGUUAGCGGCGGACGGGUGAGUAACACGUGGAUAACCUACCUAUAAGACUGGGAUAACUUCGGGAAACCGGAGCUAAUACCGGAUAAUAUUUUGAACCGCAUGGUUCAAAAGUGAAAGACGGUCUUGCUGUCACUUAUAGAUGGAUCCGCGCUGCAUUAGCUAGUUGGUAAGGUAACGGCUUACCAAGGCAACGAUGCAUAGCCGACCUGAGAGGGUGAUCGGCCACACUGGAACUGAGACACGGUCCAGACUCCUACGGGAGGCAGCAGUAGGGAAUCUUCCGCAAUGGGCGAAAGCCUGACGGAGCAACGCCGCGUGAGUGAUGAAGGUCUUCGGAUCGUAAAACUCUGUUAUUAGGGAAGAACAUAUGUGUAAGUAACUGUGCACAUCUUGACGGUACCUAAUCAGAAAGCCACGGCUAACUACGUGCCAGCAGCCGCGGUAAUACGUAGGUGGCAAGCGUUAUCCGGAAUUAUUGGGCGUAAAGCGCGCGUAGGCGGUUUUUUAAGUCUGAUGUGAAAGCCCACGGCUCAACCGUGGAGGGUCAUUGGAAACUGGAAAACUUGAGUGCAGAAGAGGAAAGUGGAAUUCCAUGUGUAGCGGUGAAAUGCGCAGAGAUAUGGAGGAACACCAGUGGCGAAGGCGACUUUCUGGUCUGUAACUGACGCUGAUGUGCGAAAGCGUGGGGAUCAAACAGGAUUAGAUACCCUGGUAGUCCACGCCGUAAACGAUGAGUGCUAAGUGUUAGGGGGUUUCCGCCCCUUAGUGCUGCAGCUAACGCAUUAAGCACUCCGCCUGGGGAGUACGACCGCAAGGUUGAAACUCAAAGGAAUUGACGGGGACCCGCACAAGCGGUGGAGCAUGUGGUUUAAUUCGAAGCAACGCGAAGAACCUUACCAAAUCUUGACAUCCUUUGACAGCUCUAGAGAUAGAGCUUUCCCCUUCGGGGGACAAAGUGACAGGUGGUGCAUGGUUGUCGUCAGCUCGUGUCGUGAGAUGUUGGGUUAAGUCCCGCAACGAGCGCAACCCUUAAGCUUAGUUGCCAUCAUUAAGUUGGGCACUCUAAGUUGACUGCCGGUGACAAACCGGAGGAAGGUGGGGAUGACGUCAAAUCAUCAUGCCCCUUAUGAUUUGGGCUACACACGUGCUACAAUGGACAAUACAAAGGGCAGCGAAACCGUGAGGUCAAGCAAAUCCCAUAAAGUUGUUCUCAGUUCGGAUUGUAGUCUGCAACUCGACUACAUGAAGCUGGAAUCGCUAGUAAUCGUAGAUCAGCAUGCUACGGUGAAUACGUUCCCGGGUCU
This 1372-nucleotide ribosomal RNA is filed under the name uncultured bacterium. RNAcentral describes it as "bacterial SSU rRNA". It matches the Rfam family "Bacterial small subunit ribosomal RNA", at positions 28 to 1381 of the family's 1533-position model. The record is from RNAcentral.